This 253-nucleotide ribosomal RNA is filed under the name uncultured bacterium. Its description in RNAcentral is "partial 16S ribosomal RNA". It matches the Rfam family "Bacterial small subunit ribosomal RNA", at positions 524 to 776 of the family's 1533-position model. The record is from RNAcentral.
UACGUAGGGUGCAGGCGUUAAUCGGAAUUACUGGGCGUAAAGCGUGCGCAGGCGGUUUCUUAAGUCAGAUGUGAAAGCCCCGGGCUUAACCUGGGAACUGCGUUUGAAACUGGGAGACUUGAGUGUGGCAGAGGGUAGUGGAAUUCCCAGUGUAGCGGUGAAAUGCGGAGAUAUUGGGAGGAACACCGAUGGCGAAGGCAGCCCCCUGGGCUGACACUGACGCUCAGGCACGAAAGCGUGGGGAGCAAACAGG